UUGCGCACAAUCAGCUAUUUUACUUAUGAAAUGAUCGAUAGACAGGGAAAAUCGCCAAGGAGGGCGAUUUUAGGAAACGCAGGGCAGGAUGCCCGUUGUUUCCGUCCCGUCCGGUUUGAAACGCUUACCCCAUUUCAUUAGUAAAAUCUGAUUGGAAGCUC
Molecule: regulatory RNA element, 161 nt
Organism: Lachnospiraceae bacterium 28-4
Lineage: Bacteria; Bacillati; Bacillota; Clostridia; Lachnospirales; Lachnospiraceae
Source: Rfam